RNAcentral lists this long non-coding RNA (686 nucleotides) under Panax ginseng (ginseng). Its description in RNAcentral is "long non-coding RNA (PGIN_LNC006106)". The record is from RNAcentral. Lineage: Eukaryota; Viridiplantae; Streptophyta; Magnoliopsida; Apiales; Araliaceae.
CCCAGUACAUAACAACAACAACAACAACAUGAAUUCCUGCAAUACCCACGAAUAGCAACAGUUAAGCAAAAAGAUAUGGAAUGGUUAACAUCACAUCCCUAAUACAACAAAAUUUCCAAAACUGAUUUAAUAAUUCAAAAAAAAAUGUUGGCAAUUGAAAUUUAGAAGCUUAGGCAAAAGUAAAUAAUGGUUUCAAAAAAGAAAUAUUUGCACAUGAUUAAAGGCAAAAGUAGAUAAAUUAAUAAAUGGCUAUCAAAUCUAGAUCUGAAACCAAAAACCAAACUAAAUCAUAAAUCUCUGGAUACAUGUAUAUACUCUAUAAGAAGUACAUUAUCAGUAGUCACAAAUCGACUAGCUGAUAAGAGAAAACUACUCUCUUCUCUUCAGAACUUGAGUGCAGAUUCGAAGAGGAAAGCGACGAACGUGAGAGCACAGCCGACGACGAACGACGGAGAAACAGAUCCGGCCGAAGACGUAGGGCUCGGAGCUGGAGCAUCGGAUGCUAUGGGGGUAAUUUGGAAUUGGGGAGUAAUUGAAAGAAUAAUCAGCUGUUGUCUAGUAUAUAGUUGGUGUUGAUUCCAGUUUGUAGAUUGUAUUAUUUUGCAUAUUGUAGUCAAUAAGGUUUCUACAAUUUAAAAAACUGAUUUGUCUUGGACUUUAAAAAACUGAUUUGGCUUGGACUUGCU